GGACCGCCCCGCGGGGGCUAAGGCCAUACGGACAGCCGGGUCCACUGCCGA
This is a non-coding RNA of Faecalibacterium sp. CAG:82-related_59_9, 51 nucleotides long. The record is from Rfam. Lineage: Bacteria; Bacillati; Bacillota; Clostridia; Eubacteriales; Oscillospiraceae.